UUCCUGUCCAAAAUAACAAAGGGGUCCUCCCAAAUUCACCUAGCCUCUAGAACAGAAGAACCCCCAAAUCUCCCAGACCUAAGCCUCCGCCGCCGCCGCCGAGGCUGACCACCCUAGUCACCGGCUCACCGCGGUGCCGCCUUCCUCCCCGACCACCGUCCGCCGCCCUUCACCGCAGCAGCAUCUUCGUCCCUGACCAGGCGGCCAAGCGCACCACCGUCUUCGAGCACGAACCUCCGUCGCAGAGCAUCCUUCGCCGGUUCCUCCCCGACCCCCUAGCUCUGGCCGCCGACUCUAAGCCCCCUCCCCAAGCUCCCCGACCAACACCAUGGCUGAGCACACCCCGCCCCGCCGACCACCCUCCCCUGUGCCUGUGUGUCCCCAAGCAGCGCCGCCUCCCCACGCGGGGUUCUCCCGCGACCUAGAUCUACCGCCGUCCUCCACCAUCCCUCUUCCUCAGGCAGCCGCUUCAACCUCCUAGAGCUCGCCCCCCUGGAAGCACCUUCUCCACGAUGCUCCCCUACACACUAGGGUUAGCUAUCUUUUUUUUCUGAACUUAUCAAAUGAGGACUUGUGUUGUGACACCGAAACUGGAUUGUAGGAUGUGAUUGUGUUGAUGUAUUUUGCCUCGGUAUAGUUCUUUAUCUUUUUUAGUCUAAUAAUCUGAAAUCCUUUGAGUGCGUAUAAGGUGGAUGUGGCCAUGGAUGGGUGUUGCUCCAAGCAUUGCUCCUGCAAUAAGUGUACACUCUUCAAUUUGUAGGAGCCCUUGUGUCUUCUAUUAUUUGUUCAUUGCAUCACCCUCAGCUCAGUAUGCUUGAUAUUGACAAGUUGUAAUUUGUGACUACAACUUUGAUCUCUAUUAUUAUUUGUUCAUCGCAUCACCCCCAGCUCAGUAGGCAGACGGUGCACAUGAUUAACACUUGUCGGCAGUAUAUGUAUCACUAGCAAAUUGAUUGCCCUUGAUUCAGGAAUUAUAAUGCCUUGUUUGGUUAAACUUGUUAUUGCUUAUUCUUGGUACAGAUUGCCCGAGACAUUUAAUCUUCAUUCGGGGAGGAGCACACACCUUUUGCUUCAUGUAUUGAAGACUGAUGUUGAAUUUGUUUAUUUGUCAAAGGCCACUAGCAAGAUAAUAUAUGUUUUGGUGAAGCCAGAAGGGGAAGAGGAGUAGGCUGUGAGCAAAGCUGGGUCAAAGAUGAUUGGGGGAAGGUUGAUGUUGAGCAAAAAAAUCAUAUGUGGACAACCUUAAAGGUUUCUCAAAGAUGCACGAGUUGAUUGAGGUCUGGAAGAUCUGCAAGUUGCUGAAGUGAUGAUAUAUAUGUGUUGUUAGUUGAACUUGGGAGACAUUGGCAAGUUUCAUUCUGUCCAUUUUGGUGGUUUAUUUUGGCACAUUUAGCCACAGUAUACUCAUUUUGGUGUGGCGCAAUUUAUUUACGUAGAAAGAUAUGUACUGUGCCUUCUGUGGUACAAUGUCCUUAAUAUAUGAUCGUUUCAUGCAUGUACCUUGAAACAUAUGUAACCUACAUGUUAUGUAAUUUCGAGAGAAGCCCUACAUGCAACUUUGA
This is a long non-coding RNA of Triticum aestivum (bread wheat), 1562 nucleotides long. RefSeq lists it as uncharacterized. The transcript has 3 exons. Lineage: Eukaryota; Viridiplantae; Streptophyta; Magnoliopsida; Poales; Poaceae. The record is from RefSeq and is a predicted model, not a curated record.